GCACUCUCUGCCUUGGACUAGAAGUGGCACAUCGCUUCUGUGCGAGGUCCGUUGGCGAGAACGUCACGUGCCCAGGCUCACUGUGAGGGCGGCUGGGAGCACCAUUGUCGCGUGUCCAGAUGAGGAGACGAUGUGUUGCACACAGCAUUGUCUGCCAUAUCAGGAACGUGCUGGCUGCUGUCUGGGGAAGGGGAGGGGACAAGGCAUAAGCGGGAAAACGAAUUCUCCAUGCGAAGCAGGUCUCCUCUGCCUCCCGCCGCCCUACCGUCAGGAGCUGAGAGAACCUCCUGGCCCCUAAGAUUUCUCUUGAGACCUAACACCAAGGCCACAGCAAGUGCCCCUGCAUCGUGCCCCAACAGCGCCAACCGCAACCCACUGUGAAAGGGCCAGGUGGGUGUCUCUGAGGAUCCCAUUUUGCAAACGAAGAAACUGGAGCUCCAGGGUGUCACUGGCGAAUGACAGGCACAACCAGGACCCAAACUGAUGCCCGACUGACUCUUCCCAUCACCAUAGAGUGUUGCAGACACUAGUGGCGUGGCAGGGCCGCCGUCGAUGGCUCUUCAGUGUGCAGCAGAAGACACGGCCGAGCUUUGUGGGAACGUGCUCAAAAGAACGGCAAAGCACCCAGGGACACGUGUGGCUUAAGGCCAGCUGACCGUGGCACAUGCUGCACGUUGCUCCCCCUGCACCGAUUCCUCCCAUUCUUUUCCUAAUAAAACACUGAUUUUGUUCUCUGUGCACGCAUGAGUUUCAGGCACCAUUUCCCAGCCCAGGAAGAGAAUCAGGAUGUCA
Molecule: long non-coding RNA, 792 nt
Filed under: Homo sapiens (human)
Lineage: Eukaryota; Metazoa; Chordata; Mammalia; Primates; Hominidae
Description: HSALNT0026120
Source: RNAcentral